Long non-coding RNA from Homo sapiens (human), 1266 nucleotides. NCBI's taxonomy places the organism in Eukaryota, Metazoa, Chordata, Mammalia, Primates, Hominidae. The record is from Ensembl.
CAUCUGAGAGUUGUUAUUUCCUUUGACGACAAAACAGAAAGCAUGUGUCCUUCCUCCUGCUGAGUGGCAAAACAAGAUGCCCAUCCUACACACUGUCCAGAACAGCAGGUCCUCACAGUCUUCUCAGAAAAUCCAGGCCGAAUGAAGAGAAAAAGGAAGGCCAAUGCCAGCCAGUUGCAUCUUUCAUAGAAUGAGUUAAGCAUUGGCCUAGCAUAAGGUACACAGGCAGGCUGACAUGGCUGAUGGGCUCCUGAUGCCACAUCAUUAGUACUCUGAAUGACUCAGAUACUGUUAUUUUCUGGUAGGUCAUGUUGACUUGAGAUCUAGAAGAAACACUGGUCCAGAAGUCAUAAUGCCUGGGUUUCAAUGGAUCCAAUAAUAGCUACCACUUAUGGGGUCCUUGCUGUGUUUUAGAUCUUCCUGGGCACUUUUUAUACAUCAUGUCAAGUAUCUCUUUUGGAAUAAGAUAUGAAUUUCUGUGCCUAUAAAUUUUAUAUAUAUUUCUAUUUUACAGGCAAUUUUACAGAUAUCUCCAUUUUACAGAUAAAGACAUUGAGGCUCUGACUGCUAUAUGCUCAAUAGUAUGCUAGUCCCUCCCGGAAAUAGAUUAAGACUCUGACUUGGAUGAGUUUAAAAUCUCCUUAAGGAAGUGAGACUUUCCUGAAGCAAUCGGGGAAUCACACCCAAUAGCAUACAAAGUUAGAUGGAGAUGGAGUGUCCCGGCUGCAGAGAGUGGGAGUGAGAGUCACACCCAGCCUGAGAGGCCUGGAUUGCCAGGAGAGACAAAUACCAAGGAGAUAUCAGGAAGAAUAUUGUCCCCAGUAAAUACCAAGUCACAUCAGGAAGAAUAUUGUGGAGAGAGAGGUAAAGAAUCAGGAUGGAAACAGAAAAUAGGCCGAACAAUGGCCAAGCGUCAAAAUCCUACGUCAGGACAGUGCUAGGACUGCUUUUUUCUAUAUCAGACACGUGGGCUCCUGCUGUGUCUUCCUGGAAAGCAGAGGCCAAGGAUGGAGCAGACCAAGAGGAUGCCAGGAAAAAUCACAAAGAAGCCCAGAAAGCACAGCUGGAAGCCAAGAACCCUAUUUUUGGUUUGUGUGGGUGGAAGGUGAGGGACAACAUAUAGUGACCAACAGGAUUCUUCAUUUGAAAGAGAAUGGAGUACAUCAGACCUGUGUAUUUAGGUGAAGUAUGAUAAACAUCAUCAUACUUCAAAGAUUAUGAACAUCAAAGAUUAUGGAAAGGAACAUGACUGCUUAGUUUAUUCCA